Molecule: ribosomal RNA, 253 nt
Filed under: uncultured bacterium
Lineage: Bacteria
Description: partial 16S ribosomal RNA
Rfam family: Bacterial small subunit ribosomal RNA
Source: RNAcentral
UACGUAGGGUGCGAGCGUUAAUCGGAAUUACUGGGCGUAAAGCGUGCGCAGGCGGUUUUGUAAGCCGGAUGUGAAAUCCCCGGGCUUAACCUGGGAAUGGCAUUCGGGACUGCAAGGCUGGAGUGCGGCAGGGGAGACUGGAAUUCCUGGUGUAGCAGUGAAAUGCGUAGAUAUCAGGAGGAACACCGAUGGCGAAGGCAGGUCUCUGGGCUGACACUGACGCUCAUGCACGAAAGCGUGGGGAGCAAACAGG